This 497-nucleotide ribosomal RNA is filed under the name uncultured bacterium. RNAcentral's name for it is "partial 16S ribosomal RNA". It matches the Rfam family "Bacterial small subunit ribosomal RNA", at positions 28 to 507 of the family's 1533-position model. The record is from RNAcentral.
GAUGAACGCUGGCGGCGUGCCUAAUACAUGCAAGUCGAGCGAACGGACGAGAAGCUUGCUUCUCUGAUGUUAGCGGCGGACGGGUGAGUAACACGUGGAUAACCUACCUAUAAGACUGGGAUAACUUCGGGAAACCGGAGCUAAUACCGGAUGAUAUUUUGAACCGCAUGGUUCAAAAGUGAAAGACGGUCUUGCUGUCACUUAUAGAUGGAUCCGCGCUGCAUUAGCUAGUUGGUAAGGUAACGGCUUACCAAGGCAACGAUGCAUAGCCGACCUGAGAGGGUGAUCGGCCACACUGGAACUGAGACACGGUCCAGACUCCUACGGGAGGCAGCAGUAGGGAAUCUUCCGCAUUGGGCGAAAGCCUGACGGAGCAACGCCGCGUGAGUGAUGAAGGUCUUCGGAUCGUAAAACUCUGUUAUUAGGGAAGAACAUAUGUGUAAGUAACUGUGCACAUCUUGACGGUACCUAAUCAGAAAGCCACGGCUAACUACGUG